This 7128-nucleotide long non-coding RNA is filed under the name Triticum aestivum (bread wheat). Its description in RNAcentral is "long non-coding RNA (TAES_LNC016859)". The stretch from base 2864 to 2995 matches the Rfam family "MIR1120/MIR1122 microRNA precursor family". Lineage: Eukaryota; Viridiplantae; Streptophyta; Magnoliopsida; Poales; Poaceae. The record is from RNAcentral.
UUUUUUUUUGUGUGUGUUUUCCCGUGAUAAGAAUAUACCGUUUGAUGUGUGCUUAGAGAGUUGAGAAUCCAAGAUUCAAAAAAAGGCUGCAAUCAUAAAUUCAGUAAUGUGAAAGGUAUGCCACUGGAUUUGACAUGAAAUGUACUUUUGUAUUACAAAUUUAUUUUAUUUGAAAAAAUCUAUGGUUCUUGGUCAAACUCUUACUUGAAAGAAUAUGCCACUCCAGACGGUGUUCCCGAUGUGUGAUCAAAAUAUACAAUUGUAUUUUGCUAAUAUUCACUUGAACUAUAUAUCGGACGGAAAUUUCAAUUGAUAAAAACCAGUUUGGAAGUUUUUUUAAAUGUUUUCCGGUAUAACAAUAUACUGUUUGAUGCACUCUUGGAGGUUCAAGAAUCCAAGAUUAAAAAUAUGUAGCACUGCAAUCAUACGAUAAUAUGAAAGUUAUGGCAUUGGAUCUGUCAUGAAAUGUACUUUUGUAUUGCAUUUUUUUUAUUUGAAACAAAAUAUUUUAUCAGCAUUUUCGGUCAAACUAUUACUUCAAAGGCUCUGCAAGUCUGUGAUUAUCUCCCUUUCUUGAGAAAAAAUAUUCAACGUACUUAUUGCUAUAAAUAUUCUUAAAAAUGAAAUUAGUAUAUUGUGAAUCAGAGGGUGAUAUAAUUUUUAAGACAAUCAGAGGCCUGUUUGGUUCAGCUUUUAUCGACGGAUUCCGCUGCCGCGUAGCAGAAUCUGAACCAAAAGGCGAACCCAGCUGAAUCGGAUUCCAGAAAUCCGCUGCCAAAAUCUGAACCAAAAGCAGAAGCAACCCAGGACGUGCUUUCCAAAAUCUGAUUCCGCUGCGGGCUAAAAUCUGAAAAAGCUGUAUCAGCUAGUUUGCCAAAUGACCAACAUCUUUUUCACAUCAGAUUUUCCACGGCUGUUUUUCCACAGCAGAUUUUUCACAGCUGAAAUUCACGGCCGAACCAAACAGGGCCAGAGGUUACAUACAUAGCAUUACAUAAGCUCUACCCUUUUUAGGGGUUACCACCGUUUCUUUUUAAGUACUCCCCUCUGUAAAGAAUUUAGUCAUCUAAGAGUAUCUACAGUCGGACAUGGCAAAUUCGACCCCUCAAACGCCCGCAGACGUGCCCGAUUGUAUUCAUGGACAGUGACCGGUCACCCUUCAAAAAAUUCAUUCCACAUCCGAAUACCUCAAAUUAGAAACUUCAAAUCUAUAUUAUUACAUGCAACAUGAAACCUAAUCUAAGAGGAGCUUGUCCGGUUCCGCUCCCCGCUCGCCCGGCUCUGCCCUGGCCAUGUCCGGCGGCCGGCUGUGCUCCUCACAGUGUUGGUCAGAUCACCGGCAAGGUAAGGUAGGGCAUGGGACACGAUCCGGCUCACGAGACUCAAGGCGCCUUCGUCUCCCAUGCCCUACUCUUCCUCAUCGGAGCCCGGAAUCCGAACAGUGUCGGUGGACGUCAGAUCGAUGAUGGAUACGUCCGGGGACAAGUCGCCGACGUCCACCACGAUGCGGUUGCGGCACCCGGACUGAUGUGCCAUACGGGCGCCGGAGAAUGCGACUUCGCCUCGCCGACGUCCGCCGCCGCCUCCCGCGCCUGGUGCCUUGCACGACGGGCACGUCGUGCCAUGACCUCGUGGAACGAUGGUGCGUCCUGAAUAUCGGCACGCCACCGGAGGGGUUGCGUGUCCGCCAGUGCGUUCGGACGCCAGACGGACCGCACGGCCUCCGUCGAGACGCCAGACGGACCGCACGGCCUCUGUUGAGACAGCUACGACUGGCCUAGCGCCGGAUCCAUGCGCCAUUUGAGCGGACACAAUGGAUUCUCGACGGAUGGAGUCCCAGCGCCGCCGUGCACGGGCCUCCUCCCUGGCGCGGCGGUGCGCAAGAUGGACGGCCAUCUCCUCCUCGGGGCCGCGUGGGAUGAGCUCGGGGUCGACGGAUUCGCUGCCCGCCAUUGCCGAAGACGACCAGAAGGAGCCGGAGACGAGCUUGAGUGGCGGAGAGGAGUGCAGGGGAGGGGAGUGAAGUGGCUAGGGUUUGGUCCGGCGAGCGAAUGGGAAGAAUUUUAUGUGGGGUUGGAUGAGACAGCGUGGGUCGGGUCCAACUUGACGGGCGCCCUCAUAUCCGCUCAAUAUUUGGGCUGAAUAUGGGGGUGCCGGUUAGCCCGGGUGUUUGAGGGCCAUUUGAGGGGCCUCUCUGGAUCAAAAAAUCGUGACCGGGCGGCCCGCCCAAAUGUAUAAGGCGUGUUUGAGGCGACCGGGUGUAGAUGCUCCUAACGUUCUUGUAUUUCGUUAUAGAGGGACCACCAAUAACAUCCGGCUCAUCGCUAUGGCCUCAGUUUCUUUAGCUGCUGGUUGUUAUCUUUGGUUAUCCACCUCCACCUCCCAAAGUUGUCAUGUCGUUUGUUGAAACUGUCACGGACCUAGCCCAUGAUGAAACACGUUUUGGGCCGUGGGCAGGGGCCGAGGCAUGACAGACACUUUUUUUCUAGUGAAAGAAAAGAGAGAAGGCAUGACAGAGACCAGCAACUUUGCGAGCAAGUUGCCAUUAGCGAGAGACCGGACCGGAGAAUGUGAUUGCAGGGGGAGUCGAUGGAGGCCAGUCGAGGGCAGCAACUGCUAGAGAUGGCAAGAAGCAGAUAAGGCAAGCAACAGUGCAGCCACCCCGCGUGGCGACAGCCAUGGCGCCCCUGGGACGUGGGCGCCAUGUGAGCAGCGCGGCGCUUCCUUCCACGGCGGGCCCGGCCGCCUGGCCGCCGGUCGCCGGAAGAGGCCAAGAGUCGUCGUCGUCGUGGGUGCGGGUGGUCCUGCCCGCCAGCGCACCAGCGGCAGCGCGCGUACGCAUGCAAAUGCAAGGCAGAUGUACGUAGUACUCCCGUUCUGAAUUACUUGUCUUAGAUUUGUCUAGAUACGGAUGUAUCUAGACUCAUUUUAGUGCUAGAUACAUCUGUAUCUAGACAAAUCGAAGACAAGUAAUUUGGAACGGAGGGAGUACGUGCGUGCAUUAUUGGUUUUGAACCGAGGCCGUGCGGCUGCAGAUUGCAACGGGCUGCAUCGCAUCACCGUCUUCAUCGCACAGUGACGAACCGGACGUACGUGCGCGCGUGCGUGAUCUGCGUAGAUCGACUGACUGGCUAGCUGGCCCGUUCACGUGCCACGCCUGACGAUGCCGAUGGGUGUUACUGUCACUUGGACGGGAGACACGCAGGCGGGCCGUUGCCGACCCUCUCCUCUCCGCUCCUCUCCUCGGGGAACAGCCUCCAGCGGGCGGGAGCGUGCCCGGCGCAGCGGCGUCACAGGCUCACAGUGGGGAGCAUGCAUGUGUGGUGGCAGUGCCAGACCCGGCCGGGCCGGACCCCUCUCCUGGCUGGGUAUCGUGCGCGUCUGCAGACACGACGACAGGCCGGUAACGAACGGGAGCAGAGCGAGACCGGGUUUAUUUGGCAAUGCUAUAGGUUUCGUCGUCCGUGACCGCCCUGUCGCCGCCCGCUAAAAAAAAGCCAGCUAAGCAUAGAUUUCUUGUGGUGAAACCAACCGCUCAGGUUUAAGUCCCUAGACUUGACACGGAUGGAUGUCGCAAGUUUCAUAAACUAGGUAACGCCCCGCGUGUUGCAGUAGAUUUCUUUAACAGUGAAAUUAUUAAAAUUAAAAUUAGAAUAUAUGAUAAUAGUACCGCACCACAUUGAACGUAGAGAUAAAUGGAGGAUGGAUGCAUGUUAUAUUGUCAUGUGACAUUGAAGUUCAGUUAUUUAUUAAUGAAAAUUAAAUUUAAAACUAGAUAAUGUGGGAGGUUUUGAUUCUUCUUUGAUGAUGUGGAGGGCAUGCAUGUGGUGGAAAGUGAAUUGAUUGUUCAUCCGCAAAAAAAAAAUAGUGAAGUGAUUGCGUGCACUUGAUGAUGUGGAUGGUUUGCAUGUGCAUUCAAAUAGGAGGGGGCAUGUGUGAACAUAUGUGAUGAGUGUAUAGAUUGCAUGUUAAGAUAAAUAAGACAGUGAAGAUGAAUUUCUUAGACUAGCCACAAUGGAGAGUAACAUACACUAGUAACAUACAGAUAUCUGUAGACUAUGUUACUACCUUCAUAGUGGGUAGUAACAUAAGUUUGGUGUCAUGCAAAGCUUCAUUUAUUAGGUAAUAGACUCAUACUGCAUUGGGACAUGUGAUGUUACAGUAACUAGUUAAGUUACUCAAAUUACCUCUCUCCUCAUUAACUCAUUGCCACAUAAGCAAAUUUGUUGAGUUGGAGUCGAUGUUACUGCUGAAGUUACUCCCACUGUGGCUAGUCUUAGGCCUAUACUAGCACAUAUGCCGGUGUUGUAACGGAAAAAAUAUUUAUUACGAGAAGCAACAGGAGAAAAAUGAUGUGUCAUCCAAAAUCAGUCUCCGCAGUGGUGGCCGACAGAGCUAGGAGCUGCGAUCUUCUCGCGGGUCAUGUUUGGCCUACGAGAUCGUGAUAGUGGUGGGGUUGGACGGUAUCUCUUAUCACGGCUUAACCAGAUGAAUUACUAAUUGCAGUGCAUAAAUCAAAGACCCGACGACGUGGUGCCAGCUAGUCGAACAAACAUGCCCUAAUAACCAAUGAGCAGCGCGAAUAUUUAAGAAAAUAAUGCAAUGUUAGAUUCGAAACAUUUUUAUUCAAACUUAUCAUAAAAAAUAUGAAUUACUUUGCAAAUAUUCUUUGAAACAUGAACAAAUUUUGAUAUUCCAAACAGUUUUUUUGAAAAUUAUGAAUGUUUCCGACAAACAUGGAAAACAUUUUCAAUUCGCAUAUUUUUCAAAAUUCACAAACAUUUUCUGAAAACAUGAACCUUUUAUAAUAACAUGAAAAAAAUGAAUUAGUGAACACCUUUUUAAAAUGGAAACAUGUUUUGAACAUUCAGAGCAAAUUUUGAAAAUGUGUUUUUCAAAUAAGAAAAUUAUUUUAAUUUCGUAAACAUUUCACUAAAAUAACAACAUUUUCAGAUUUGAAACAUUUUUAAAUUCAAAAGGAAAUAUUGGAAAUCAUGAUUAAUUGUGCGAAAUACAAACAUUUUUUGGAAAAUUGAGAAAAAGGUUAAAUUUCCAAAAAAACAUUCAAAACAGAAACUUUUUCAGAAUUUGAAACCUUUAUCGAAAACUUGAACAAAAAUGAGAAUUCUGAGGUUUUUCGAAAACUUCUAAUUUCUUAAAAAGAAAAAAAGAAAUUAAACUUGAAAGUGAAAAAAGUAAAAUGAAAUAGAAAAGAAAAAUAGAAAGAAACAGAAAAGAGACUGAACAGAGGAUAAAACAAAAAUGGGCCGGCCAAUAUUGGGCGACCUGUGCGAAGGUCUGGGUAUUUGACGCUCCCUGCGGCAAACAGGGUUCUUCCAGUUGUGGGGGCAGGAAAAUAAGCGGUCUGGCUUCGCAGGACCUUGGCGCGCGGUACAAAAUCCUGGACAAAACAUUUUUCUUUUCUAGCAUAUGAAUGUACAAAAAUUUAAUACCACCUCGGGUUAAAAAGAAAUCUUUUCGUCAGAGGACGGAUGAAAAAAAUAGAAGAAACGCACCUUGCUUUAUUAGUAGGUAUAGAUAGAAUUUAUUUCAACUUCUCUGGUGAGGCAUCCGUUAAUCUCAAGAUAUAUGCCUCCUCGGUCUCUCCAGGGUGCUCCGAGCAUCCAAACCUUUUAUUUCGAUUUAAACAAUAAUUUGUCCCUACAUGACAUUCCUUUCAUGAAUGACAUUAUUAACUUAAUUAAUAUCUUUGUGGAACCAGUCCAAAGGAUGUACCCAAAUACCAUACAGUCAGUGGCGAUUCUACGUGUAAUCCACGGGUCAGUUGACCCCACAGCUCUCAGAGAAAAUAGCCUACAAAUACUGUACAGUUACUGUACAUUAUGAAGAAAAUUAUCUCAAAAAUUACCAACAUCCUACAGAUUAUUCCCGUUGGUUUCACCCACUGCAUAUAGUGCUGCACUUUCGGCUAAGCUUAGAGGAAGCUAGGUGCAUUUGUGUAUGUAUUCGUCUGUAUUUGUACUGUGUUUAUAAAAAGAAAACGCUGAAUGAUAGGCCAGUAAGCGCCGUUUGAACAAUUAUUCAUACAGUCAAGACCGAAACCCAGGCUGUCAUGCGAGUCCAGCCGGACCAUCGGACAGAGGCACAGAUCCACAGAGGCACCGGUGCCUGGUACUGCCAGUUAGAAAGAUUCGCAGAUCAUGCUUCCAAAAACCGCAUCGAUGUUUCUUUCAUAGCCACCAAUCAUAACGACCGAGAAAACGGAAAGUGCAUGGACGAAUCUAGGUGCAUAUGAACCCACUUUGAAAAACAAAUUUUUAUAUGGUAAAAAAAUCCGAAAAAGAUGGCAUCGGUACGUCUUCGUGUUCUACGUGCAUGCAUAAAGUUUCACGGAAAAAUAACUUUUUUUGACUAAAAAAUUGUUUUGUGAAACGCUAUUUAGAAGCACUGGAAUUUGUCUUUUUUACAAAGACAAAAUAAAAUGACAUUUUUUCACAAAACUUUGCACCGCGCACACACAUUUGUGAACAUGUAUGCAUGAAACUUUCAUUUGAUUUUUUUGAGAUUUUAAAAUGUGCUUACAAUGCAUUCUUUUUGAGAAGUGGGUGCAGAUGCCCCUGGGUUCAGAUCGUGCCCACUCCCGAGAAAACCUGGAUCUUCCACGUCAAUGCAGAUUCUGAUCACAAGUAUUACAACGUCUUGGCUUGAAUCUUCCACUGUUGCAUUAUCGCAAGAGGUGUUUCGUUGGAGGGCUCAACUCAUCGUCGCUAAUCAUGUUUUACUUUCAUUUACUCUGGCAAAUGAUGAGAUCAUUCAAGCAGCAGCAUAAACUACUUGUAAGGAAGACCAAGGAGAGAAGAACAUGACAGUUCAAGAUCACAGUUUGUGCCAAAGGCCGAGACCACACGCAAGUCAGGCCCAACCAUCAGAGAUGGAGAGCAGCGCCACGAUAUAGACACAUUCACAAUCACAGAUGCUCCUAAAUAGACAUGCAGAAACUGCACAAAACCUGUGCUCAGAGUGGCAUAAAUCCAGGUAUCGAUGUUUUGCAGCCAAGGUGUAUCCAGAUAUCGAAACAAGAUCGUAAGGCAGAAGUUUCCAUGUCAAACACGCAAAAUCACAAAGCAUUACAGCGUCUUCAACUCUUCAUGCAAAGGAACUGUCCCC